AAGCGCUUGUGACCAGACUUGGGCGCGGCGGAUCAUCCGGGGUUCUCUCCGGUGCACUUCGCCGCGUCUAGGCCAGCAUCAGUUCGUCGCGGGGGAAAAAGGUUUCGGGAACGUGGCUCCUCCGGGAGUGUUAUAACCCAGGGUAUAAUACCC
RNAcentral lists this ribosomal RNA (153 nucleotides) under Trichoderma sp. Its description in RNAcentral is "partial large subunit ribosomal RNA". Lineage: Eukaryota; Fungi; Ascomycota; Sordariomycetes; Hypocreales; Hypocreaceae. The record is from RNAcentral.